GUCCGACUUGUGCAGCGAGCAGGCCACAUUGCUCUCAAAGCCCACGAUAAUUGGGCCGCGACCGCUGGCUCAGCCCCCACUGGCUCUCGCGACCGCCGCCGCUGUUCGCCGGAACCCAGCAUGACGCCUCGGGCGCUGCUCUCCCGCCUGCGUCUCGCCCCUCUCCUCCACGACGGCCACCACCUGCGACGCUUGCUCUCCGCAGCCGCCGCCCCACCACCACCACUAGAUGAGUCGCCUCCCGGUGCGCCGCCGCCGCCCUCCAACUCCAGACUCUUCGUCGCCGGUUUGUCGUGGUCCGUGGACGAGCGCUCCCUCACGGACGCCUUCUCCUCCUUCGGCACCGUCACCGAAGAUGGUGCGCGUGCUAGGUGUUCGAAGAGACGCCGUGGAGGCAGUGAGCCACCCCAUCGCGCCCAGCCCCGCGAACUGUUCGAUGAAAUGCUUGUAAGGGACGUGGUCGCCUGCUCGGCGGCGAUCUACCGGCAUGCAAGGAGUGGGUCAUUCCGCCAGUCAGUUGGGCUGUUUGUCAGCAUGAUGAGGGAGGGGGUGUGCCCAAACUCGUUCACCUUGGUCGGUCUGUUGCUUGCGGCAGCUCAGCUGGGUGACGCUGUGCUUGCCAAGUGCAUCCAUGGGUGGGCUGUGAAGAGUCGGCUGGAAUCCAAUCCUUUUGUUGCAACUGCACUGGUCGAUGCGUAUGCGAAAUGCGGGUGCCCCAUGAAUUCAUGGGCGUUUUUCAGUGAUUUGAGGGAUCCCAGUUUGGUUUCCUGGAAUGCUAUGAUCUCCGGGUUAAUGCACAAUGAUUUGUUUGAGGAAGCAUUGUUGGUGUUUAAAAGGAUGUGUGGUUGUUUUGGGAUACUUCCUAAUAAUGUUGUGACCAUGAUUAAUGUGGCUCAAGCUUAUGCUGGUUGUGGUGACCUUGGAAUGUGCAAGAGUGCACACGCUUAUGCAAUUAAGAUGGGCCUUGAUAUGGAUGUUUCGGUGACAAACUCAAUACUUGGCAUGUACUUGAAUUUUGGUGACAUUGAGAUCGGAAGAGAGAUUUUUAGGAAAAUCAUUGUUCAUGAUCUUGUUACUUGGACAAUGAUGAUGGGUUUCCUUCUUGAGCAGGCACAUGCUGGUGAAGCUAUAAGUCUCUUUGUACAGAUGAGGUCAAAUGGCAUAGUUCCUGAUAGGGUAGCAAUGGUCAGUUUGGUGCAAGCUUGUGCGCUUCUAGGUGAUGCAAGGAGAGGAAAAUUGGUUCAUAAUCAAAUGGUCAUCCGUGGUUUUAUUAGAGAGCUUCCUGCGGCUAAUUCUUUAAUCACAAUGUAUUCCAAAUGCAAGGAUUUAAGUUCCGCUAGAGUGUUGUUUGAUGGAACAAGGGAGAAAAGCUUAGUUUCAUGGACUGCAAUGGUUUCAGGGUAUAUUGGAAGUGGAAAAGCACUAGAGGGGAUACAUCUCUUUAGUAAGAUGAGGCGUGAAGAUAUUUUUGUGAUUGAUUCUGUGACGUUAGUCAGCUUAUUGAUUGGGUGCUAUGACAUUGCUAAGUUUGAGCUAUGUGUUCAACUUCAGGGGUAUAGCUACAAGACAGGUUUAUAUCUGCAUAGACCCGUACCUAAUACUCUCAUGGCAGUUUAUGGUAAGUGUGGAUAUGUCAGUUUAACCCGUAAAGUAUUUGAUGACAUGAUUUCUCGAGAUGUUGUCUCAUGGAAUACUAUGAUAUUAUCCUAUGGCAUAAAUGGCCAAGGAGAGCAAGCAAUGGCACUUUUUAACGACAUGGAGGAAUCUAGUGAAGAGCGAGACAGUGUAACAUACUUGAACACAUUGCUGGCAUGUAGCCAUUCUGGACUAAUUGAUGAUGGGUUGGUCACAUUCAGGAGAAUGAUUAAUGAGAAGCGCAUAAAUCCAUGCCAAGAGCACAUCGGAUGCCUAGUAGAUAUGUUGGCAAGAGCCGGUCGCUUGGAUGAAGCAGCAGAAGUGGCUAGCUUGACCAACAAAGAGGGAGCAAAUUCUUGGAAGGCUUUGAUGGGAGGAGGUCACCUUCACAGUGACACAGAGUUAACUGAAGUUGCUGCUAACAAGGUGCUGAACAUGGAGUCGUUUGAUUAUGGCCACGUGGUGUUACUGUCUAAUGCUUAUGCAUCAGCUGGGAAGUAUAUUGUUGCCGAAUCUAUCAGAUCAUGUUAUUCAAAUCAAACAAAAAGGAAGACUUUAGGGCUGAGUUCCAUUGAGGUCAUGCCAGUCAGCACUAGAUAGCACUACUAUACUAAUCUCGAUGGAAGGGAAAAGAUAUAUGAGACAAUUACCAUCCACUCUCUGUCUGUCUGAAGCUAGUGCCUAGUGGGGAUAUUUUUUAGCCUUUCAGGCAUGAGCAAUGGAGUUUCACUUUGCCGACAGCCAAGUCCCAUGUGAUUAAAAGAGACAUGUCAAGAAUGAAGCUAUAGCAUGAUUGAUGCAAUGGAGACUUGCAUUGUUCCUUGGAUUGCUACAGUUAGGAUAAUGUAUGACAAAAAUUCUGGAAGGUCAAGAGGCUUUGGAUUUGUUCACUUCUCAAAUGACCAUGAGGCUAAGGUUGCGAAGGAUGCUAUGGAUGGAAAGGUAAUGCUAGGGCGGCCAUUGCGAAUAAGUUUUGCUCUUGAAAAAGUCCGUGGCGCACCAGUGAUUGUUCCUCGACUUUCUACGUGAGGAAAUUUAAUAGCUUACAUGUUUACUCCCUGGAAACAGAAACGUGCUUGCUAACAACUUGGUCUAUAGAAACAUUGUUUUUUUUUUGAAGAAAUUUGCAGGAGCACUGCAUUGUCAUUUAAGAAGAGGGAAACAGAUAAUGUGUUCUAUAAGUUCGAUAUUACAUAAAAGAGAAAGUACUCAAACACAAUUGAAAAGCGUAACAUCAGAUAACUAAGAAAUCUCUGGCCCUCCGCAGGCCAUUUUCUUGUUUGGACUUCCAUUUUGAUCUCAUGCAAGACAUCCGUUGGUGAA
Molecule: RNA transcript, 2958 nt
Organism: Panicum virgatum (switchgrass)
Lineage: Eukaryota; Viridiplantae; Streptophyta; Magnoliopsida; Poales; Poaceae
Gene name: glycine-rich RNA-binding protein 4, mitochondrial-like
Exons: 5
Source: RefSeq, a predicted model, not a curated record